Molecule: long non-coding RNA, 695 nt
Filed under: Felis catus (domestic cat)
Lineage: Eukaryota; Metazoa; Chordata; Mammalia; Carnivora; Felidae
Description: lncRNA (ENSFCAG00000047744.1)
Source: RNAcentral
UAGCUGUUGCCCUUGGUAUCACCCUGUCUGACAUCAGUGUUUCUUUGUGGGUCAAGACGUGGUCUGGAUCUCCCCGAAUCCUGUGUGGUUUAGGUGAGGGCAGGAGACUGAGCUGAAGAUGGCCUUACCUAAAAACAUGGUGGUCGAGGGAAAGCACGUCAGAAAGCGUCCAAAUCUUCCAGGAUGUUCUCAGCCCGACACUAGUGUUCUAUCACCUGCUGAAGAACGAUACUGUUAUCGCAGCCAAGUUUGGUGACUCUUAUUCUCAUGCAGUAAAGCUCUGGGCCGGGGGUUCUUGGCUGGUGCACUGGCAGAAACUGGGCUUGCCCCCUUCUAAAUAAUGCAGGCAGAUUGUCUGGCCUUUGAUGUGAUGUGAACCGAAGAAUGAAUACAAUUCAAACUAAACAAAUAAGGCUCCAGGAAGUUGAGACUAUGUGGAUUGCUUUUGGCUGAGUCACUUGGAGGUGACAGUGAUUCUGGAGGAUAACCAACAAUUUAAAAACGUGCCCUCAGAUGCUGUAAGCCUGGGGAUUUUCUUUCUGAGGUGUGCAGACUCCUUCUGGAAUCAUCUUCCUGGUUUGGGUGGUGCUUGGUAUGAAACAAUGGAAUUUCUAUGUUCGGCUGUGAUAAGGAGAGAGGUGCCAGCAUGCAUUAGGGCUGGAAAGUUACCUUCUUAAAUUGAAGAAGUGCUUAGA